UACGUAGGGGGCAAGCGUUGUCCGGAUUUAUUGGGCGUAAAGCGCGUGUAGGCGGCCAGAUAGGUCUGCUGUGAAAACUCGAGGCUCAACCUCGAGCUGUCGGCGGAAACCAUCUGGCUAGAGUUCGGAAGAGGUGAGUGGAAUUCCGAGUGUAGAGGUGAAAUUCGUAGAUAUUCGGAGGAACACCAGUGGCGAAGGCGGCUCGCUGGUCCAUUACUGACGCUGAGGUGCGAAAGCGUGGGGAGCAAACAGG
Molecule: ribosomal RNA, 253 nt
Filed under: uncultured bacterium
Lineage: Bacteria
Description: partial 16S ribosomal RNA
Rfam family: Bacterial small subunit ribosomal RNA
Source: RNAcentral